UUGGAAAGUAGAGGUGGUCAGAGGGGGACGUUCUUCCCAGAUACACUGACACACUGACAGUACAAUAUACUGUCCUAGACACAACUGACCUCAAUUUUUGUUUAUUUGUCUUUUUCAGGAAAGCAGGCACUAUUUUUCAGAAAGACAUUCAAGGCAGCUGUAAGAAUAAUUGUACUUCAUGAAAUAGUGCUAUUGAACAUUUAAAGACUGAAAAACAGCAAAGAGUGAAAAAUAUCUAUAAGCCUAGGACAUUUUUGAACUUCCACACAUGGACAAAAAGCAAAGCCAAAGAAUGGAUGAGGAACCUUCGCUUUACAGGUCCCUCAGCUUUCAUGAAAUCAACAUAGGCUCACAAUUCUAAGAAUAACUAUCUCAUAAUCAAAUGCUUCUAGAUAUACUGGACUGUUCAUUUGGGUGGGAAACUACCCAAACAUACCUCUUGCUCUUAAAAAUAUAGUAUAGCAUCCAUAUCUCUGCACAGUAUGUUCACUUAGGAAACCAUCAAGCCCUUUAUGACCUAAAUGGCUACAGAGCUACUACAUACAGAGAGACCCACAAAGACACAGACAUAUACAGCAGACACAACACAUUCAGGUUAUACAUGGACUCAGCUAAUCCACAAGAAAAAUCAAAUUAGAAAAGCAUAUUAGAAUAUAUUACUUGGCAGAGAAUGACAUGAGUGACACAAAGAUUUCCAAAACCCGUGUAGCUGUCAGUGCAGGAACCAAGAAUGACUGGAUAAAGCAAGUUGAAGAGAAAAUAACAUUCUUAGAAACUCAGAUUGAAGCAGCCAAGAAAAAUCAGGAGGAGGAAAGAAUAGCAGCGUCUUUCGAGGAACAGUACCUUGAAAAGCUGGUAGGCAAGGCUGGAAAGCAAAUAUCUCUGAGCAAAGUGAUUUUUUAAAAAUGUAUAUUAUAUGACACCAUAAAAACACCAAGCAAAAAAAUCUGUUGGUUAGAUCAGGAUGGGCUAAUGAUAUGAAGAGAAAAUAACAUUCUUAGAAACUCAGAUUGAAGCAGCCAAGAAAAAUCAGGAGGAGGAAAGAAUAGCAGCGUCUUUCGAGGAACAGUACCUUGAAAAGCUGGUAGGCAAGGCUGGAAAGCAAAUAUCUCUGAGCAAAGUGAUUUUUUAAAAAUGUAUAUU
Molecule: long non-coding RNA, 1143 nt
Filed under: Pogona vitticeps (central bearded dragon)
Lineage: Eukaryota; Metazoa; Chordata; Lepidosauria; Squamata; Agamidae
Description: lncRNA (ENSPVIG00000008938.1)
Source: RNAcentral